GGGGAAGCUGAUCCUAGGUCUGUCCCUAGGGGAAGCUGAUCCUAGGUCUGUCCCUAGGGGAAGCUGAUCCUAGGUCUGUCCCUAGGGGAAGCUGAUCCUAGGUCUGUACCUAGGGGAAACGUUCACCCCAGAGCCUCAUGAUAUGGCAGAAACUAGUGUGUGUUGAUGCCAGAAACAAAAAUAAUAUAACUGUAAAAUAACGAACUGUUUUGUCUGGGUAAAACUACAACAUUUAGUCCCCUCAGCAGCCGGUGUGGAGUCUGAAGUUAUGAAGCGUUACUAGUGUAAGGCAAACGAGCAGAAAAUAAACUCUGUG
Molecule: long non-coding RNA, 316 nt
Organism: Oncorhynchus tshawytscha (Chinook salmon)
Lineage: Eukaryota; Metazoa; Chordata; Actinopteri; Salmoniformes; Salmonidae
Source: Ensembl